UACGUAGGGCGCGAGCGUUGUCCGGAAUUAUUGGGCGUAAAGAGCUCGUAGGCGGCCUGUCGCGUCCGCUGUGAAAUCCCGGGGCUCAACCCCGGGCGUGCAGUGGAUACGGGCUGGCUGGAGGCAGGCAGGGGAGAACGGAAUUCCUGGUGUAGCGGUGAAAUGCGCAGAUAUCAGGAGGAACACCGGUGGCGAAGGCGGUUCUCUGGGCUGGACCUGACGCUGAGGCACGAAAGCCAGGGGAGCGAACGGG
RNAcentral lists this ribosomal RNA (253 nucleotides) under uncultured bacterium. RNAcentral's name for it is "partial 16S ribosomal RNA". It matches the Rfam family "Bacterial small subunit ribosomal RNA", at positions 524 to 776 of the family's 1533-position model. The record is from RNAcentral.